AGAAACCAACAGGGAUUGCCUCAGUAACGGCGAGUGAAGCGGCAACAGCUCAAAUUUGAAAUCUGGCCUCUUUGGGGUCCGAGUUGUAAUUUGUAGAGGAUGUUUCGGGUACCGCCUCGGUUUAAAUUUCUUGGAACAGAAUGUCAGAGAGGGUGAGAAUCCCGUCUUGGACCGGCGGUAGGGCCCAUGUGAAACUCCUUCGACGAGUCGAGUUGUUUGGGAAUGCAGCUCAAAAUGGGUGGUAAAUUUCAUCUAAAGCUAAAUAUUGGCCAGAGACCGAUAGCGCACAAGUAGAGUGAUCGAAAGAUGAAAAGCACUUUGAAAAGAGAGUUAAACAGUAUGUGAAAUUGUUGAAAGGGAAGCGCUUACAACCAGACUUGAGCGCGGCGGUUCCCCCUUCCUUUUGGUUGGGUUACUCCGCCGUGUCCAGGCCAACAUCGGUUCUGGGGGUCGGUCAAAGGCUUUGGGAAUGUAUCUACCCUUCGGGCGUAGACUUAUAGCCCAGAGUGUCAUGCGGCCUCCCGGGACCGAGGAACGCGCUUCGGCUCGGAUGUUGGCGUAAUGGUUGUCAGCGACCCGUCUUGAAACACGGACCAAGGAGUCUAACAUCUAUGCGAGUGUUUGGGUGUCAAACCCGGAACGCGAAAUGAAAGUGAACGGAGGUAGGAAGCCGUGAGGCUGCACUAUCGACCGAUCCUGAUGUCUUCGGAUGGAUUUGAGUAAGAGCAUAGCUGUUGGGACCCGAAAGAUGGUGAACUAUGCCUGAAUAGGGUGAAGCCAGAGGAAACUCUGGUGGAGGCUCGCAGCGGUUCUGACGUGCAAAUCGAUCGUCAAAUUUAGGUAUAGGGGCGAAAGACUAAUCGAACCA
This 868-nucleotide ribosomal RNA is filed under the name Minimelanolocus thailandensis. RNAcentral describes it as "eukaryotic LSU rRNA". It matches the Rfam family "Eukaryotic large subunit ribosomal RNA", at positions 60 to 942 of the family's 3401-position model. The record is from RNAcentral. Lineage: Eukaryota; Fungi; Ascomycota; Eurotiomycetes; Chaetothyriales; Herpotrichiellaceae.